Molecule: ribosomal RNA, 594 nt
Filed under: uncultured fungus
Lineage: Eukaryota; Fungi
Description: eukaryotic LSU rRNA
Rfam family: 5.8S ribosomal RNA (bases 192-346)
Source: RNAcentral
CACGAGUUGUUGCUGGUCCUCGAAGGGGGACAUGUGCACGCUCUGUUUGCACAUCCACUCACACCUGUGCACCCUCCAUAGUUCUGCAGCCUGGGGGGGCUCUGUCCCCCCGCCGUGGUUCUAUGUAUUUACACACACACACUGUAGUAAAGUUUCAUGGAAUGCAUACCGCGUUUAACGCAAUACAAUACAACUUUCAGCAACGGAUCUCUUGGCUCUCGCAUCGAUGAAGAACGCAGCGAAAUGCGAUAAGUAAUGUGAAUUGCAGAAUUCAGUGAAUCAUCGAAUCUUUGAACGCACCUUGCGCCCUUUGGCUAUUCCGAAGGGUAUGCCUGUUUGAGUAUCAUGAAAACCUCAACUCUCAUGGCUUGCCAUGAUGAGCUUGGACUUUGGGGGUCUUGCUGGCCUGUGGUCAGCUCCUCUCAAAUGAAUUAGCUUACCAGUGUUUGGUGGCAUCACAGGUGUGAUAACUAUCUACGCUUGUGGUUUUCCACCACGUAACCUUCGGCGAUGAAGGUUCGCUGGGGCUCAUAAACGUCUCUCCCCAGUGAGGACACAGCUCUUGGAAUGUUUGAUCUCAAAUCAGGUAGGACU